This is a small nucleolar RNA of Sphaeramia orbicularis (orbiculate cardinalfish), 134 nucleotides long. Ensembl annotates it as small nucleolar RNA SNORA31. Lineage: Eukaryota; Metazoa; Chordata; Actinopteri; Kurtiformes; Apogonidae. The record is from Ensembl.
CAGCAUCUUUGACAGCCUGGGCUCCCUGCUGUAGGAUGUCCUGGGUUUUAAUAUUUCAGAUGCAAUAUUAAAUGUCCCUGCGCUUUCUGCACGCCUCUUCUGUGGCGUCUCAGAUUGAAGAGGGGAGGACAAAU